AGUCUUUAAUGAUGGUAUUUAA
This 22-nucleotide microRNA is filed under the name Gyrodactylus salaris (gyrodactylosis fluke). Its description in RNAcentral is "gsa-miR-8-5p". Its record names the gene gsa-miR-8-5p. Lineage: Eukaryota; Metazoa; Platyhelminthes; Monogenea; Gyrodactylidea; Gyrodactylidae. The record is from miRBase by way of RNAcentral.